Molecule: non-coding RNA, 468 nt
Organism: Fundulus heteroclitus (mummichog)
Lineage: Eukaryota; Metazoa; Chordata; Actinopteri; Cyprinodontiformes; Fundulidae
Source: the annotation of a RefSeq genome assembly
UUGAACACUGGAGGACUGACAGCUGUCCUUCAUGACAACAGAAGACACAGAAAUCCUCCUCAUCAAAAACAUGACUUUGAUCUGCGUCCUCAUCUGGACUCUCCUCCGCUGCUGCUUCACAGAGUCCAGAGGUCAGGUCACAGUGACUCAGCCUGCAGCAGUGACAGCUGAUCUGGGAGGAUCUGCUACCAUUACCUGUAGGACCAGUCAGAAUGUUUAUGUUGAUUCCAACGGCCACUAUCAAGCCUGGUAUCAACAGAAAGAUGGACAAACUCCUAAGCUGCUCAUUUAUUAUGCCAGCACUCGAGCAUCAGGGACUCCAAGUCGUUUUACAGGCAGUGGAUCAAACUCUGACUUCACUCUGACCAUCAGUGGAGUUCAGGCUGAAGAUGCUGCAGUUUACUACUGUAUGGGUGAAUUCUACAUCAGCAGCACAUAUUCAUUCACACAGUGAAAAUCAGUCGUACA